RNAcentral lists this ribosomal RNA (430 nucleotides) under uncultured Syntrophorhabdaceae bacterium. RNAcentral describes it as "bacterial SSU rRNA". It matches the Rfam family "Bacterial small subunit ribosomal RNA", at positions 355 to 776 of the family's 1533-position model. Lineage: Bacteria; Pseudomonadati; Thermodesulfobacteriota; Syntrophorhabdia; Syntrophorhabdales; Syntrophorhabdaceae. The record is from RNAcentral.
UGGGGAAUAUUGGGCAAUGGGCGAAAGCCUGACCCAGCGACGCCGCGUGGGUGAUGAAGGCCUUCGGGUUGUAAAACCCUUUCGUGCGGAAAGAAUAGUCCUGUAGCGAAUAACUACGGGAUUUGACGGUACCGCAGGAAGAAGCACCGGCUAACUCCGUGCCAGCAGCCGCGGUAAUACGGAGGGUGCAAGCGUUGUUCGGAAUUAUUGGGCGUAAAGGGCGCGUAGGUGGUUGUGAUAGUCAGAUGUGAAAUCCUUCGGCUCAACCGAAGAACUGCAUCUGAAACUUCAUAGCUCGAGUACAGGAGAGGGAAACGGAAUUCCCGGUGUAGAGGUGAAAUUCGUAGAUAUCGGGAGGAACACCAGUGGCGAAGGCGGUUUCCUGGCCUGAUACUGACGCUGAGGCGCGAAAGCGUGGGGAGCAAACAGG